AGCUCUGUAAGCGUAUACCAAAGUUGUUGCAGUUAAAACGCUCGUAGUCGGAUUUUGGUAGUUCCGGAUCUGUGCGCGUCGUGCGCGCAGAUUGCAGGGGCUGCUUUUGUGGGCAUGCGUCGGAUGAGGCGACUUUAUUGUUGAACGUCUGUACGCAACCACCAUUUACUGUGAAAAAAUUAGAGUGUUCAAAGCAGGCAUUUGCCGUGAAUACAUUAGCAUGGAAUAAUAGAAUAGGACUUGGUCUUAUUUUGUUGGUUUGUUAUGGCUGAGUAAUGAUUAAGAGGGACAGUUGGGGGCAUUUGUAUUCCGGAGCUAGAGGUGAAAUUCUUAGAUUUCCGGAAGACAAACCGCUGCGAAAGCGUCUGCCAAGGAUGUUUUCAUUGAUCAAGAACGAAAG
RNAcentral lists this ribosomal RNA (400 nucleotides) under phytoplankton environmental sample. RNAcentral describes it as "partial small subunit ribosomal RNA". It matches the Rfam family "Eukaryotic small subunit ribosomal RNA", at positions 587 to 989 of the family's 1831-position model. The record is from RNAcentral.